Molecule: ribosomal RNA, 293 nt
Filed under: Salmonella enterica subsp. enterica serovar Infantis
Lineage: Bacteria; Pseudomonadati; Pseudomonadota; Gammaproteobacteria; Enterobacterales; Enterobacteriaceae
Description: partial 23S ribosomal RNA
Rfam family: Bacterial large subunit ribosomal RNA
Source: RNAcentral
GGCGCUGGAGAACUGAGGGGGGCUGCUCCUAGUACGAGAGGACCGGAGUGGACGCAUCACUGGUGUUCGGGUUGUCAUGCCAAUGGCACUGCCCGGUAGCUAAAUGCGGAAGAGAUAAGUGCUGAAAGCAUCUAAGCACGAAACUUGCCCCGAGAUGAGUUCUCCCUGAGACUUUAAGUCUCCUGAAGGAACGUUGAAGACGACGACGUUGAUAGGCCGGGUGUGUAAGCGCAGCGAUGCGUUGAGCUAACCGGUACUAAUGAACCGUGAGGCUUAACCUUACAACGCCGAAG